RNAcentral lists this ribosomal RNA (497 nucleotides) under uncultured bacterium. RNAcentral's name for it is "partial 16S ribosomal RNA". It matches the Rfam family "Bacterial small subunit ribosomal RNA", at positions 28 to 507 of the family's 1533-position model. The record is from RNAcentral.
GAUGAACGCUGGCGGCGUGCCUAAUACAUGCAAGUCGAGCGAACAGACGAGGAGCUUGCUCCUCUGACGUUAGCGGCGGACGGGUGAGUAACACGUGGAUAACCUACCUAUAAGACUGGGAUAACUUCGGGAAACCGGAGCUAAUACCGGAUAAUAUAUUGAACCGCAUGGUUCAAUAGUGAAAGACGGUUUUGCUGUCACUUAUAGCUGGAUCCGCGCCGCAUUAGCUAGUUGGUAAGGUAACGGCUUACCAAGGCAACGAUGCGUAGCCGACCUGAGAGGGUGAUCGGCCACACUGGAACUGAGACACGGUCCAGACUCCUACGGGAGGCAGCAGUAGGGAAUCUUCCGCAAUGGGCGAAAGCCUGACGGAGCAACGCCGCGUGAGUGAUGAAGGUCUUCGGAUCGUAAAACUCUGUUAUUAGGGAAGAACAAAUGUGUAAGUAACUAUGCACGUCUUGACGGUACCGAAUCAGAAAGCCACGGCUAACUACGUG